UUCUAUUGUACCCACAUCAUCAUCGUCUCACACGGAAGAGAUGAGGCCUGUCAUCAAUCCAUCAGAUUACUCUUUUGAUAGUGCAAAUUGGAAUUACAGAAAGGUUUCUUUUUGGAGAAGGGCCGAACGAAACAAAUACGCAGAAUGUAGGUAUCAAGGAUUUUCACCUACUCUAAAUGAACAGUGUUGGUAGUACCUGGGCAAACUCUGAGAGGCA
RNAcentral lists this long non-coding RNA (217 nucleotides) under Homo sapiens (human). Its description in RNAcentral is "HSALNT0252065". The record is from RNAcentral. Lineage: Eukaryota; Metazoa; Chordata; Mammalia; Primates; Hominidae.